CAAUAGGUUAGUUUCACAUGAGGGGUUAGGCACACUUUCACCUUUUAGGAUAUUUCCUAAAAAGGGGGUGUUGCUUAUGGAUAUGGAAAGUGUAUUAAAGCUGAUGCUUUCUUUCGGCAUGCUAAUAGCUUUUAUCAUGUCCGACAAAAACCAUAAAAAAUAACCCCUCAUGUGAUUUUGGCAAGUCAGUUGAGGGAUUAUUUAUCUAGUCCUGUGCCUCCCCCUCUUGAUGGGGUUAGCUUAUUGUAACCGUUCCAUGUAGAAGCAUGGGACG
RNAcentral lists this small RNA (274 nucleotides) under Virgibacillus necropolis. RNAcentral describes it as "BsrG". It matches the Rfam family "BsrG". Rfam says of the family: bsrE, bsrG and bsrH pair through intermolecular interactions with antisense sRNAs. Lineage: Bacteria; Bacillati; Bacillota; Bacilli; Caryophanales; Bacillaceae. The record is from Rfam by way of RNAcentral.